GACGAACGCUGGCGGCGUGCUUAACACAUGCAAGUCGAACGGAAAGGCCCUGCUUGCCGGGUACUCGAGUGGCGAACGGGUGAGUAACACGUGGGUGAUCUGCCCUGCACUUCGGGAUAAGCCUGGUAAACUGGGUCUAAUACCGGAUAGGAGCCAUUUUUAGUGGGAUGGUUGGAAAGUUUUUUCGGUGUAGGAUGAGCUCGCGGCCUAUCAGCUUGUUGGUGGGGUAAUGGCCUACCAAGGCGGCGACGGGUAGCCGGACUGAGAGGGUGGACGGCCACAUUGGGGCUGAGGGACGGCCCCGACUCCUACGGGAGGGAGCAGUGGGGAAUAUUGAACAAUGGGCGCAAGCCUGAUGAAGAGACGCCGCGUGGGGGAUGACGGCCUUCGGGUUGUAAACUCCUUUCGCUAGGGACGAAGCUUUUUGUGACGGUACCUAGAUAAGAAGCACCGGCUAACUACGUG
This 465-nucleotide ribosomal RNA is filed under the name uncultured bacterium. RNAcentral's name for it is "partial 16S ribosomal RNA". It matches the Rfam family "Bacterial small subunit ribosomal RNA", at positions 28 to 507 of the family's 1533-position model. The record is from RNAcentral.